Non-coding RNA from Metarhizium robertsii ARSEF 23, 110 nucleotides. NCBI's taxonomy places the organism in Eukaryota, Fungi, Ascomycota, Sordariomycetes, Hypocreales, Clavicipitaceae. The record is from Rfam.
GUCUUCAUGGCGCAGUUGGUUUAGCGCGUUGGUCUCAUACACUGUUGUCUAUGAUCAGAUGAAUAAUCUGGGCCAUCCAAAGGUCGCGAGUUCGAGUCUCGCUGAGGACA